This 270-nucleotide unclassified non-coding RNA is filed under the name Hevea brasiliensis (rubber tree). Lineage: Eukaryota; Viridiplantae; Streptophyta; Magnoliopsida; Malpighiales; Euphorbiaceae. The record is from RNAcentral.
UAAACUUUGAACAUUUUUACAAUUAUACUCUACCGUCUAUUCUGCCAUUAAAUAUAAAGGAUUUUGCUAUGUCAGCAUAACAAAUGUCCAAAAAAAUCCUAAACUUUGUCUUUUUCUUCACAAUUGUACCCUAAACUAUUUUUUUUCAACAAACAUACCUUGAACUUUGAAUUUCACUAUAAUUGAACCCCUUUGAUAGUUGCUCCUUUCAAAACUAACAGAGAUGUCAGAUUAGCACUUCUAAUCCCCAAAUUGAUACUAAUUAAACUU